AGUGAACGCUGGCGGUAGGCCUAACACAUGCAAGUCGAACGGCAGCACAGUAAGAGCUUGCUCUUACGGGUGGCGAGUGGCGGACGGGUGAGGAAUACAUCGGAAUCUACUUUUUCGUGGGGGAUAACGUAGGGAAACUUACGCUAAUACCGCAUACGACCUACGGGUGAAAGCAGGGGAUCUUCGGACCUUGCGCGAUUGAAUGAGCCGAUGUCGGAUUAGCUAGUUGGCGGGGUAAAGGCCCACCAAGGCGACGAUCCGUAGCUGGUCUGAGAGGAUGAUCAGCCACACUGGAAAUGAGACACGGUCCAGACUCCUACGGGAGGCAGCAGUGGGGAAUAUUGGACAGUGGGCGCAAGCCUGAUCCAGCCAUACCGCGUGGGUGAAGAAGGCCUUCGGGUUGUAAAGCCCUUUUGUUGGGAAAGAAAAGCAGCAGGUUAAUACCCCGCUGUUCUGACGGUACCCAAAGAAUAAGCACCGGCUAACUUCGU
Molecule: ribosomal RNA, 491 nt
Filed under: uncultured bacterium
Lineage: Bacteria
Description: partial 16S ribosomal RNA
Rfam family: Bacterial small subunit ribosomal RNA
Source: RNAcentral